AUUGAACGCUGGCGGCAUGCUUUACACAUGCAAGUCGAACGGUAACAGGCCUUCGGGUGCUGCCGAGUGGCGAACGGGUGAGUAAUGCAUCGGAACGUGCCCAGAGGUGGGGGAUAACGCAGCGAAAGCUGUGCUAAUACCGCAUGUGAUCUGAGGAUGAAAGCGGGGGACCAGGCAGCAAUGUUUGGCCUCGCGCCUUUGGAGCGGCCGAUGUCAGAUUAGGUAGUUGGUGGGGUAAAGGCCUACCAAGCCGACGAUCUGUAGCUGGUCUGAGAGGACGACCAGCCACACUGGGACUGAGACACGGCCCAGACUCCUACGGGAGGCAGCAGUGGGGAAUUUUGGACAAAGGGCGCAAGCCUGAUCCAGCAAUGCCGCGUGCGGGAAGAAGGCCUUCGGGUUGUAAACCGCUUUUGUACGGAACGAAAAGGCUCUGGCUAAUACCUGGGGCUGAUGACGGUACCGUAAGAAUAAGCACCGGCUAACUACGUG
Molecule: ribosomal RNA, 492 nt
Filed under: uncultured bacterium
Lineage: Bacteria
Description: partial 16S ribosomal RNA
Rfam family: Bacterial small subunit ribosomal RNA
Source: RNAcentral